GACGAACGCUGGCGGCGUGCUUAACACAUGCAAGUCGAACGGAAAGGCCCUGCUUUUGUUGGGUGCUCGAGUGGCGAACGGGUGAGUAACACGUGAGUAACCUGCCCUUGACUUUGGGAUAACUUCAGGAAACUGGGGCUAAUACCGGAUAGGAGCUCCUGCUGCAUGGUGGGGGUUGGAAAGUUUCGGCGGUUGGGGAUGGACUCGCGGCUUAUCAGCUUGUUGGUGGGGUAGUGGCUUACAAAGGCUUUGACGGGUAGCCGGCCUGAGAGGGUGACCGGCCACAUUGGGACUGAGAUACGGCCCAGACUCCUACGGGAGGCAGCAGUGGGGAAUAUUGCACAAUGGGCGGAAGCCUGAUGCAGCAACGCCGCGUGCGGGAUGACGGCCUUCGGGUUGUAAACCGCUUUCGCCUGUGACGAAGCGUGAGUGACGGUAAUGGGUAAAGAAGCACCGGCUAACUACGUG
RNAcentral lists this ribosomal RNA (468 nucleotides) under uncultured bacterium. RNAcentral's name for it is "partial 16S ribosomal RNA". It matches the Rfam family "Bacterial small subunit ribosomal RNA", at positions 28 to 507 of the family's 1533-position model. The record is from RNAcentral.